This 273-nucleotide ribosomal RNA is filed under the name uncultured bacterium. Its description in RNAcentral is "partial 16S ribosomal RNA". It matches the Rfam family "Bacterial small subunit ribosomal RNA", at positions 524 to 796 of the family's 1533-position model. The record is from RNAcentral.
UACGUAGGGUGCGAGCGUUGUCCGGAAUUAUUGGGCGUAAAGAGCUUGUAGGCGGUUUGUCGCGUCUGCCGUGAAAAUCCGGGGCUCAACCCCGGACUUGCGGUGGGUACGGGCAGACUAGAGUGUGGUAGGGGAGACUGGAAUUCCUGGUGUAGCGGUGAAAUGCGCAGAUAUCAGGAGGAACACCGAUGGCGAAGGCAGGUCUCUGGGCCACUACUGACGCUGAGAAGCGAAAGCAUGGGGAGCGAACAGGAUUAGAAACCCCAGUAGUCC